CAGCCGCCGCGGGAAUACGAAGGGGGCUAGCGUUGCUCGGAAUGACUGGGCGUAAAGGGCGCGUAGGCGGCAUAUACAGUCAGGCGUGAAAUUCCCGGGCUUAACCUGGGGGCUGCGUUUGAUACGUAUGGGCUAGAGUGGGGAAGAGGGGGGUAGAAUUCCACGUGUAGCAGUGAAAUGCGUAGAGAUGUGGAGGAAUACCGAUGGCGAAGGCAGCCCCCUGGGCCAAUACUGACGCUCAUGCACGAAAGCGUGGGGAGCAAACAGGAUUAGAUACCCCGUAGUCCCUGUCUCUUAUACC
Molecule: ribosomal RNA, 301 nt
Filed under: uncultured bacterium
Lineage: Bacteria
Description: partial 16S ribosomal RNA
Rfam family: Bacterial small subunit ribosomal RNA
Source: RNAcentral